RNAcentral lists this ribosomal RNA (954 nucleotides) under Aptostichus atomarius. Its description in RNAcentral is "partial 16S ribosomal RNA". Lineage: Eukaryota; Metazoa; Arthropoda; Arachnida; Araneae; Euctenizidae. The record is from RNAcentral.
UUUUUUGGGUCUUGCCCCAAAGAGAUUAAUAAUUCAACAUCGAGGUCAUAAUCUUUUUCUUUUAUAAGAACUUUAAGAAGAAAUUGUGCUGUUAUCCCUACGGUAACUUAAUUGAUUCUCAGAAUGAGGAUGAAGAGAGACUAAAGAUAAAAAGAUUUAGUUUUUGACCGCCCCAGUUCAACAAAAGUAAAGUUCGAUAGGGUCUUGUCGUCCUUCUUUGAGAUUCAAGUCUUUUUACUUGAAAGAAAAGUUAAAACAGUUCAGGUAAUAAAGAAAUUUAUAUGUCAAACCUUUCAUACUGGCCUUCAAUUGAAAGGCAAAUGAUUACGCUACCUUAGCACAAGAAAAUUGCGGCUAUUGAAUACAUCAUUGAGCAGGCCCUACUGAAUAUAAGAUCAUUCAGAAAUGUUUUUGAUAAACAGACAAUAAAUAUAUAGGCCGAGUUCAUGAAUCUGAAUGUAGACUUAUUGAGAAGAGUGGUUUAACAAAAGAAAGUUAGAUAAAUUUUACUAAUAAGAUCAUUGUUUAUGUUUUUAGGAGGGUUUCUUUUAAUAAUAUUUUAGAAGAAGAAGGGGGGAGAAGUUUUUAAACUUGGGGAUACUAUUAGUCCUAAUGUUUCUAAAGCAACAAAAUGUCUAGUUUUUAAAAAAGUUUAUCCCUUUUUAAAUUUUGGUAUUAUUACCUUCAAAGAGAACCAGAUAUUAUAGAAUGCGAGUGGAAUUUCAUCUCUAUAAAUACUUUAGAAAACUUUGUGAAACAAGCUUGAUAAGUAGAAAUAGAUCAUUUCAAUUUCGGGAGUAUUUAUUAAAAAGAAGAGAUUGAUUUUCCCUGAUACCAAAGGUACAUUGUUUUUCUGUUUUACAAUUUAAAGUGUUCCCUCACGGUAAAAUUAAGCCAAGAAGAAAACAUGAAGAACAAAAUAUUUAUUUAAAUAAAGAUCUAAAGUGUAAUAGU